AUUACUUUUUUGUCACCCGAACAAAAAUUUUCCAAAUAGCUUCCUUGAGAGUUUCUUCAAAGAAAUUGCUAUAUAUUCGAAAAUAUGUUGACCAUUCUGGAAAGUUUGGCGAUACAUCCCAAUACAUCGUCUAUGGUCUCUGCUCAACAUGGCCUUAUGGUGCUAGCAUGUGAGCGCCUCAGACCUUGUGACGGUACGGUUGCCCGCUUACAAAUGCGGCAGUUAAUCUUUCAGGACGCGCGCCAUCAAGCAGCUGAAACUGCACCACGCUUGCGCUGUAUACGACGAGCGAGGUUUUUUGUAGUGUUGUACUAUUUACAACGGCGCGCGUCCUGAAGGGAUUACUUCUUGCUACUUGUGAUAUGUGUCGAGGAAUUUUGAUGGAGCGUAAUAAUAGUAUUAUUAUAAAGCAGAUGAGCUUUCGGCCCAUAUAGCCGAGGCGGUAAACGCACGGGUAUUCAGCAUGACCAUGCUGAGGGUGACGGGUUCGAUUCCCGGUCGGUCCAGGAUCUUUUCGUAAAGGAAAUUUCCUUGACUUCCUUGGGCAUAGAGUAUCUUCGUGCCUGCCACACGAUAUACACAUGCAAAAUGGUCAUUGGCAGAGGAAGCUCUCAGUUAAUAACUGUGGAAGUGCUCAUAGAACACUAAGCUGAGAAGCAGGCUUUGUCCCAGUGAGGACGUUACGCCAAGAAGAGGAGAGAGGAGGUGGAGCGUGGGAAAUCACAGAAGUUUACAUGACAUAUCAUGUAAAAGUCAUAAAAUAUCAUGUAAACUUCCAUUAUAUGUCAUGUAAUUCAGCAUGACUCUGAGUGUUUACAUGACAUAUAACACAAAUUUACAUGAUAUAUCAUGUAAAACAUCAUAACAUUAAGUUUACAUGACGUGUAAAUCUCAUUAUUUUUAUCUGUGUGGGCACGUUCCGUCUCGUUGGUUGAUCUUCCGAUUUUUCGUCGAUGAUCCGUUGUUCCGCCAACGCCUUGCAAUGCUUCUCUUUAUGACCGGGCAUCAGGCAGUACUUACCCGACGUCUCCACUAGACAGAAAUGUCUUGCCAUUUUGCUGGACAGAUGUGUCAUGACAGAAAUGUUCUCUCGCUGUUUGCAUGGAAAGCAGCGGUGUUGAUCAUUUCUGUUACGUUUUCUCUUU
This is a long non-coding RNA of Aedes albopictus (Asian tiger mosquito), 1145 nucleotides long. RefSeq lists it as uncharacterized. The transcript has 2 exons. The record is from RefSeq and is a predicted model, not a curated record. Lineage: Eukaryota; Metazoa; Arthropoda; Insecta; Diptera; Culicidae.